AUGACGCNGGCGGCANGCCUAACACAUGCAAGUCGAGCGGAAACGAGUUAUCAAAGCCUUCGGGUGGCGAUAACGGCGUCGAGCGGCGGACGGGUGAGUAAUGCCUGGGAAAUUGCCCUGAUGUGGGGGAUAACCAUUGGAAACGAUGGCUAAUACCGCAUGAUAGCUUCGGCUCAAAGAGGGGGACCUUCGGGCCUCUCGCGUCAGGAUAUGCCCAGGUGGGAUUAGCUAGUUGGUGAGGUAAGGGCUCACCAAGGCGACGAUCCCUAGCUGGUCUGAGAGGAUGAUCAGCCACACUGGAACUGAGACACGGUCCAGACUCCUACGGGAGGCAGCAGUGGGGAAUAUUGCACAAUGGGCGCAAGCCUGAUGCAGCCAUGCCGCGUGUAUGAAGAAGGCCUUCGGGUUGUAAAGUACUUUCAGCAGUGAGGAAGGCAGGUACGUUAAUAGCGUGCUUGUUUGACGUUAGCUGCAGAAGAAGCACCGGCUAACUCCGUGCCAGCAGCCGCGGUAAUACGGAGGGUGCGAGCGUUAAUCGGAAUUACUGGGCGUAAAGCGCAUGCAGGUGGUUUGUUAAGUCAGAUGUGAAAGCCCGGGGCUCAACCUCGGAAUUGCAUUUGAAACUGGCAGACUAAANUACUGUANAGGGG
This 650-nucleotide ribosomal RNA is filed under the name Vibrio sp. R2-01. Its description in RNAcentral is "bacterial SSU rRNA". It matches the Rfam family "Bacterial small subunit ribosomal RNA", at positions 30 to 659 of the family's 1533-position model. The record is from RNAcentral. Lineage: Bacteria; Pseudomonadati; Pseudomonadota; Gammaproteobacteria; Vibrionales; Vibrionaceae.